RNAcentral lists this ribosomal RNA (503 nucleotides) under uncultured bacterium. RNAcentral describes it as "partial 16S ribosomal RNA". It matches the Rfam family "Bacterial small subunit ribosomal RNA", at positions 30 to 523 of the family's 1533-position model. The record is from RNAcentral.
AUUGAACGCUGGCGGCAGGCUUAACACAUGCAAGUCGAGCGGGGUGAUGGUGCUUGCACUAUCACUUAGCGGCGGACGGGUGAGUAAUGCUUAGGAAUCUGCCUAUUAGUGGGGGACAACAUCUCGAAAGGGAUGCUAAUACCGCAUACGUCCUACGGGAGAAAGCAGGGGAUCACUUGUGACCUUGCGCUAAUAGAUGAGCCUAAGUCGGAUUAGCUAGUUGGUGGGGUAAAGGCCUACCAAGGCGACGAUCUGUAGCGGGUCUGAGAGGAUGAUCCGCCACACUGGGACUGGGACACGGCCCAGACUCCUACGGGAGGUAGCAGUGGGGAAUAUUGGACAAUGGGGGGAACCCUGAUCCAGCCAUGCCGCGUGUGUGAAGAAGGCCUUAUGGUUGUAAAGCACUUUAAGCGAGGAGGAGGCUCUUUUGGUUAAUACCCAAGAUGAGUGGACGUUACUCGCAGAAUAAGCACCGGCUAACUCUGUGCCAGCCGCUGCCGUAA